This 3811-nucleotide long non-coding RNA is filed under the name Homo sapiens (human). Its description in RNAcentral is "HSALNT0373665". Lineage: Eukaryota; Metazoa; Chordata; Mammalia; Primates; Hominidae. The record is from RNAcentral.
GUGAAUUUGUAUGUAUUGCUGAAAUGUGCAUUUUGCCAUCCAGUUGCAAUUCCUGUUUUUCUGAAAACAAACCUUAAAAAUCAAGAAAGGUGAAGGACAUUUACAUAUUUAAGCUGACGGCACCCCUAACAACAAGGCAGGAUUGUUUUGUUUAGGAAAGAAUUUAAAUGAAAGAACUCUCACUAUCAGUUCUUAAUGUGAUUUUGCAGACUUGGGUUUUUCAGAAACAAAACUUAAAUUCAACUAGAUAGUUUGGGCACACCAGGAAGCAGGUAAAAACUCUGGAAACUUGGGACCGGGGAGCAGCCACGGGGGAGAAGAAGCCCGGCAAAUAAAGGAAAGUGAAGAUGACGGAGACUCCGAGGGGCAGAGGAAGGCAAGGAAGUCCAGAAAUGGAGCAGUCAAGCCCCAGAGCGUCUGUCUGCAGGGGCUGAGGACAACUUUCAAGCAAGAGGGCCAGGAGCCCAAGGCUAGCAGAGUAUCAGAAGCGUCUGGCCACCCACAGGUCAGCAGCCAGCACUCUCUCUCCCUUGAUGACAGCAGCUGGCUCCAAAAAGGACCAUAGCUGUGGAAAGGAAACCUCUAAAUGUCUGAUAAAGGCCUUUGAGGUUGGACUGGAAUUACACCUUCAGCUGGCAGAUGGCAGAUGGUGGGACUUCUCAGCUUCCAAAAAAUCACCUGGUCCAAUCCCUCAUUAUAAACCGUGCACUCUCCCUCUCUCUCUUUCUUUUGUCUGUCUCUCUAAGUGUGUGUGUGUGUGUGUGUGUGUGUGUGUGCAUCUUGACAAGGAUGUUCCAUCCAGGCCAGUGACAAACCCCAUGAUAUGGUUUGGCAGUGUCCCCAUCCAAAUCUCAUCUUGAAUUGUAGCUCCCAUAAUUCCCAUGUGUCAUGGGAGGGACCUGGUGGGAGGUCUUUCUUGUGCUGUUCUCAUGAUAGUGAAUAAGUCUCAUGAGAUCUGAUGGUUUAUAAAGGGGAGUUCCCCUGCACAAGCUCUCUCUUGCCUGCCACCAUGUAAGACAUCCCUUGCUCUUCUGCCAUGAUUGUGAGGCCAUGUGGAACUGUGAGUCCAUUAAACCUCUUUCCUUUAUAAAUUACCCAGUCUUGGUUAUAUCUUUAUUAGCAGAGUGAGAACAGACUAAUACACCCCUGAUCCCAGAAAGAUCAUUGUGCCCUUUCUCAUGUUAGUGUAGAGAAUUUGGCUGGAACACACAGACAAUUGGGUGGUCAUUGAGUUGUCCUAGAGCAAUGAUCCACUGCUAACAAGUUUUCCCCAACAAAUAUUUAAAGUAACUUAAAAAUAAUGGAAGUAAUCUCAUUACAUGAGCUUGUAUCUCCUUUAUUGUUAACAUAUUUGCAUAUUUAAACAAUAUAUCAAAGACACCUAGUUUUUAUAUGCGGAAGUGGGUAUUUCAAUAAUUCAUAUCAAAAUUUUCUGGUAAAUCUAAAAAACACAAUUUACAACAAGUUGCUCCGAAACUCUUUUAGUUGUUAAUAUACUAUUUACUCAAAAACAGGAACGAUUAAUGACAUUAAAAUGAUAGUUUACCCAAAAGUGAUUAUUUCUUGGGUGAUUCAUUUUUAUUUUAAAAUAUCAUAAUCUGAAGUAGAUCUUCAUUUAGCUAGAAACUAAAUUAUUUAGGCUAUAACAUACAUUUGUGCUAGAUUUCCUCUGAUUAAUUAAGCUUUCUUUGAUAUGUAAACACAUGUAGACUGGAAAUACUUUUGGUGAUAAGUUGUGUGGCAAACUUUUGUAGGGACUGUGUGACUUUUGGAAAGUAAUAGGUCCUAAUAUGUGAACUGCUAGUUUGAUUGAAAACCAAAAAAGUGACAUUUAUUUUCUUUGCCUUUCAUAUAAAUUAUUUAAAAUGUUGAAAUGUAAGAAUUGUAGCUGGCAGUGACCUGGUAAUCAUUUUUGUCUGGUGAAUUCUUAAAUGGUAACCAGGCAUGAGUGUUCUUAAAAUAUGUCCUAGGGCCACAUUGUUCAACCGUUUUGCUCGAAAAGCUACUGUUUAGCAAAACACGUGGAGUUCCCAAAGACCCACAGAGACCGGAUGGCAUUUCAGAAUUGAAUCCAGAUCUUUCCAUAAAAUGAAAAUAACGGAACCUUGAUCCAUGAAAGUUCAUUAUUCCUAAGCAGACCUUUGCCUUUUAAAGUGGAUCUAAGGAGAAGGUUAAAGCUAGAAUGGAGGAUAGGGCUUGAAGUAGAACAAAAUGUCCUCUAAUUAGGAUUCAACUAUAGAGGCCUCUUUGUCUCCUAUUCAGCUAGUUAUAUUUGAGUGUUGUAUUUUACUUCAACAAUAGUCUCCCUUUAGGCAUCUCCAAGAAGCAAGAACUUAAAAGGAACCUUGGUUUCUUUCAGAAAACCUCUAAAAUGAUAGAUGUUAUUCUUCUAUCCAUUUUGAAACCCCAACCAUUGGACAAAAGAUGUUUUAAAAGCUCCAGAUAUUGCCUUCUUACAUUGAUAUUAUCAACAUUCAUCGUGUUCCUAUGGAUCUACAUUAUUACAGGUUUCUUAUUUGAAAUCUCAUUGUUGAAAAAGCAUUCUAAUGACAGAAUUGGAAACCAACUAUCUGGAUUAUCUCUUCAGGACAAAUCACUCACUUUCAUUUACAACAGCUUUUUAAAGUAUUUUAGUAAGUUUCUGUUGUGUUACUUAACUUUUUUUUAGCAGUAUUUAAAGGUUAAGACUUCCCAUUUUUAUCUUGACAUUUUUAUCUCAUGUUAUAUUUGGACUGUAACCUCAUUAGUAAAAAUUUAUUUUUUCUCCUUAUUUUCUAACUAAGGGUUACUAGCAUUUAUUUUAAAGAUGAAUGUCCAAUCAGAAUCUAUCUAAUCUUAAUAUUUUAUGUAUAAUGUGAGUUCAUGUGAUUGAUGGUCAAACAUGAGGCCUAUUGUAGGAAGCUAUAAUAAAAUAAUUAGAUUAAACAGAUUAAAACAAAUGUUCUGGUUUCUUGAGAGUGGGACUAAGUCUUCAGAUAUGUAUAUUCCAGUGGAUUUCUACCUAAAGUAUCUGCUUUCUCACAGACAUGACUGGUUCUGGUGGAGAAUGUUCAUUUAUGCAUCAAAAAAAUAGAAGAUUGACUAUAAAUAUUUAAUGUGUAUUUAGUUUAAUACACGUAAUAGCCAUAAAGGCAAAUAUAGUUAGGUGCAGAUAUUAGUGUAUAGAAAUGUCUAUUUACAUAUUUGGUAAUUAUUUCCUUUCAAGGCUUAAUCUGUGUGAAGUAUUCUCUAUUAAAAGACUAAAAAAUUAGGCAACAAAAGCUUAGACUUCAUAAGUAAAGUACCCAAUUCAUCAGGGAAGCUUGAUUUUAAAAUGGGAUAUUUCUUUCCUUCCCUUCUUUCAGGCACAAAUACAUGGCUCUUUCAAUGCAAAACCAACUAGUGCCUAAUAAAAGCAAACAGAUGCCUCUCCAGCCUGAAGAAAAUGACAAUUUCUUUGGAGGGCCUCAUCUUGAAUCCUUUCCUUUCCUUAAUGACCUAACGAGAGCCAUUCUGAUGAUUGUAAGAGCCAUGACUGACAUUCCACACCUGUGGCCUACCCAGAGUCCAAUUUGACAGUGAUCAUAAAUAAAAUCUUGUCGUACUAUUAUAGGAUGUUUGGCAAGGACAAGAAUUAAGGCACCUUUACAACUCCCUAAGGAAUCUGGUGAUAUUUCUAACAUGAUCUCACACAUUCUGUCCUGCCCGACCUUCCUUGUAUCACCUUCCUGAGUUAUAGCUUGUAUCCGUUACCCUCUCCUCCUUCCACAGCCUCUCCCCAAAAUAAAGAAUUGCUGACCUGAAGAAAACAAAUCCCGUUUGUUUUGUUUUU